UGGCCUUCUGCAGUAUUGUCCACAAGACAUUUAUUCUAUAUUACCAUCAUCAAUUAAGCAAGGUAGGCUGUUGGGAGCAUAAGCCACCACCAGUAGGAGGUGGGAAGGAGUUUAGCAAGUCAUAAAUGGCCAAAAGUAGUCACCCGUUACCGAUCCAUAAGUGCACAUUGGUGGUCAAGAAACAUGGAUUUGCUAAAGGACUUUAGAGGAGAAGAAAGCUCCAACAUCUCAAUUUCACUUUAGCCUUAAGAGAGGCCGGCCACCAGAGAGUCGACGUUAGUUUCCUUGAGUUACCUCUCUUCACCACAAUUUCUGAAGCCCCCCACACAAUAGAAGACAUGCCGUCCAAGCAAAAACAAGCAGGUUAUUAG
This 371-nucleotide unclassified non-coding RNA is filed under the name Hevea brasiliensis (rubber tree). The record is from RNAcentral. Lineage: Eukaryota; Viridiplantae; Streptophyta; Magnoliopsida; Malpighiales; Euphorbiaceae.